Long non-coding RNA from Carassius auratus (goldfish), 3572 nucleotides. RefSeq lists it as uncharacterized. The transcript is spliced from 2 exons. Lineage: Eukaryota; Metazoa; Chordata; Actinopteri; Cypriniformes; Cyprinidae. The record is from RefSeq and is a predicted model, not a curated record.
CAGGUACAUCGGCUGUUGUAAAAACUGUUGCCAUGUAUGAAGAAUCUUUGGUGAACUUAUGUGGGCAUCUUGAACCUGUUGCGAAAUCUGCGAUUUCACAUGAAUUCAUACUAGAGUGACUGAAUUUCGCCAUCGAAAAUUCGUCAAACAACCGCACCUAAACUUUAGGCAUGUUUGAGAAAAUGAUGGAUUGUAGUCGUAAACUCUUGCCAGUAACUGCAUUUUUAACCUUCAAAUUACUGCAAAUUGGGGUCAGAUAGCUUACAUUAUGGCUUCCCUGGAGUCUUUACAAACAAGGUGUUGAGUCGUGACCAACCUUUUAUUUGUUCAGACAAAUCCUCUCCGAUCAUUUGAAUAAUUGUGAUGGUGUGGUGUUGACAACGAUUGAGGGCCGUGCCCUCUUGUGCCUGCUAAACUGGUAUCAGUUUGUUGAUUAAAUGCUGGCUCAGUUCAGCAGGAACAGGAGUGAAGCCCUAGUGCCACUGCCGCACUCUCCUCCAAUCAGAAUGCAGCGUGCUUUAUCCUCCAAUCAGCAUGCAGUGUCCACCACUCCGUCUGAUCAGCACAAAAUGUGCUUCUCUUUUUCUCAGCUACAUAAACAUCUGACAUCAGUGAAUAUAAAACAUGUUUUCAAGAGAACUGACCUUGGUGAAAUAUGAAUGGUUAACCAUUAGAGGUCAAGCAAUUGAGGAUAAUGAUUUUUUUGCAUACUUAUGAAAGCCAUAUCCAUGUUUUUAGUGCUGCUCUCAGCACAUGCAUGGCCAAGGGAACGCACAGUGUUAAGAUCUAAAGAUGUACGUUCAACUGGUUUUACCUCAUGCUUGAGAAACGCCUGCAGUGAGUCUCUCUGUGUUAAAGAUAGUUCAAAUGAAUUACGACAGGAGACUUAUUUUAGGUGGUGCUGUCAUAUUCAUUCAUGCAUAUAAAAAAUGGAAGACUUCAGGUUGAUCAUAAAUCUACCUCAGUCUGUUAACUUUCUGCUGGCUACCUACGCUUUUUCGUUUUUUUGCAAGAAAGAGGAAAGAUUACAGCUGGACAAAUGUCAGGUUUAUUGAUUGGAUAUCACUUCUAUGUUCAUAUAUUAUUAUAAAAUAGUAUUUUCAUAGAAUUCAGCAUGCUGCUAUUAGAUUGCUAGGGUGUUCAUAAUAGUUUUUAACGUUGCGGUUUGGUCGCAUGCUUUUUAGAUUGGUGCCAUGUAGUUGCUAGAGCACAUUGCUAUGUAGAUGCUAGCAUGCAAAAAACUACUUAAUCAAAAAAAAUAUUAUAAUUAGUUAUAUCGCAUAUCUGAGGGACAGCUUCUGUACUGCAGGUCUCGCGGCCUGACUUGAACUGCUCUCCUCGCUCUGCAGCAUUGACAGCUACUUGGAAAGAUUUGUGCUGCUCAGAAACAAUUAUAGGCCAUAAAUGCAUCAGUGGGAAGGAGCUGCGGGGAUGAAAGCGGAAAGCCUCCUAUUUUAGUUUCACAGCGAUGUCGGAGUCCUUUUAUCAUGUGCUCAGAGACUGACCAGAUUUCGUGACGUGGCCUCCUUUAGUUAUUUGAUAUUGUUUUUGCUCCCUGCGCCACCAUGUAGUCAGUUUGUUUGCGGUCCAGACCAGAGUUGUGUGCUUUAUAAUUGGUUUAACUUGAACAAGACCAGCUGUGCAAUAAAGCAGCAAAGCCACGUAAAGAAACCCACGGUACCGGGCGGUUUCUGGAUCACAAUCCAGAGCAUCUGUGCUGAAAGUAAGAGUUUGUCACAUAUUUAUUAAAAUACAUUUAAAGACAUGUUGACACCACAUGAAUGUCUCUGAGGUCCUCAAGGCAUGCCACAGAUUAACUCUCUUCCAAUGUUUUCAUCUCCUCCAAUCAGCAUGCAGCAUGUUUUCCUCUCCUCUAAUCAGCAUGCAGCAUGUUUUCCUCUCCUCUAAUCAGCAUGCAGCAUGUUUUCCUCUCCUCCAAUCAGCAUACAGCAUGUUUGCCUCUCCUUCAAUCAGCAUGCAGCAUGUUUUCCUCUCCUUCAAUCAGCAUGCAGCAUGUUUUCCUCUCCUCCAAUCAGCAUGCAGCAUGUUUUCCUCUCCUCCAAUCAGCAUGCAGCAUGUUUUCCUCUCCUCCAAUCAGCAUGCAGCAUGUUUUUCUCUCCUCCAAUCGGCAUGCAAACACUACCUUGUUUUCUCAGGCAACGACUGGGUUCAUCUUAUCCUCAGCGAUCUUCUAACCAGCUACAAAUGUGCAGAAACCAAUGAGCUGCAUUCAUCCGAGGACCCUCUGAGAACUUCCCCAUUAUCUGUCUGCAGAACACCUGGAGGCGACGCGCUGUCUGCACGCAACCGCAGUUAACCCUUCAUGCCCUCUAUAUCCAUAUUUCCUUCAAGACAUCAUGCAGUCGUAAACUAAACUGUAAUCAUCUCAGGAACGAACGUGUUUGCGGUGCGUGACGGCUCUCUCUCAUAAGGCUCACACCACCAGUGAUAACUAUUUUAACAUCUGCAACUGACUAGUAAAGUAUUCCACAAAUUUCACAAAUAACUUAUGGACAUAAUUUGAAUAUAAGUCAAACUCUGAAGUGUGUUGCUGUUUGUGUCUCUUCUGAUGUCCUUCAUUGUUUUUUUCCAAUGUAUCCACACAGAAGAUUCUUCCAGAUUUGUAAAUGUUCAUCCAAUCUCAUUUAAAAAAAAAAAAAGACUUGAUUUUAAAUAUAUUCUUCGGGUUGUUUGAGUACUCAAAAGAGAAUAUUAAAUAAUUGGUUUCCUGCUAGCCAAAUCUUACAUACAUAGACAAAAAGUCUGGCUCUAAACCUCGCUUUUCUUUAUUCAAAGUUGAUGUAGACAAUUAUAGGGAAACUAUUUUAAACUCUGUUCAUCUUAAUGCAGUGAAAACAGCACCUCUAUUUCCAUUCUAUGUGUUUUUAACCUGGCAACACAUCCCAUCCAAGAAAAAUAUAAUACAAAUCCUUGGUUAUUAUAGUUUAACCAUGGUAGUUAUGGUAAAGUGGUUAGGCCUAUGUAAAAAUAAAACCUUCUCAGGUGAUAUCAAUGGUGGGAUCUAUUUCAGAUGUGGCAAUAACAAUGAUUACAUACCCACAUAUUUACUUGUAAAUUAAAUUACAUUGAAUUUAUGCAUUUAGUAGACGCUUUUAUCCAAAGCGACUUACAGUGCAUUCAGGCUAUCAAUUUUUACCUAUCAAAAAAAAGAAAAAAAAAACUUGUUUGAUCAAAAUUAUUGCUAGGGACAAUUUAGUCAUCGCUGCAUCCCAUCUAACAAUUUUUGGUUUCCAAUAUGGUCUAGGAAUGUUAGUUUUUGUUUUUGCUUGUUAAAACAAUAACCUACAGGGAACGUUCCUAGAACGUUCUUAUUUGGUUUCAAAAUAAAAAUGGAACGCUAGGGGAACGUUCUGUGUUUGUUGGGAUAUUAGGGACAUGUCAUAGCGUCUCUACUGAACACUACACCCUUGAAAGCGAGGCUGGGAUAAAUAUGCAAAGCACAUAGACGGUGUUAUUUUCACAAAUCACAAUUUUUUUGUGUGUGUGUGUGUUUGUGUGUCAUUUAUUGUGAUUGUUGUGUUUGUGAUUUGAAUAAAAAUCAAUUGAACGCA